AGAUCCCUGGCGUAUGCGCCAGGCAGACAGUCCUCGAGCCGAUAAAUUUGUAUCCGGGGGCUUCCAGCCACUGUUGGUGUGCAAGUCUGGCAUGACCGGAAAGCCUGAUUCAGUGCGGGGGCCUCCACCUUGAACCAUCGGGUUCAAGGGCAGCGCUGUCAGCGGUACGCCGGGAAUCUC
Halioglobus sp. HI00S01 is the source of this 180-nucleotide non-coding RNA. It matches the Rfam family "6S / SsrS RNA". From Rfam's summary of the family: E. coli 6S RNA was the first non coding RNA to be sequenced, but its function was unknown until recently. NCBI's taxonomy places the organism in Bacteria, Pseudomonadati, Pseudomonadota, Gammaproteobacteria, Cellvibrionales, Halieaceae. The record is from Rfam.